This 450-nucleotide ribosomal RNA is filed under the name uncultured bacterium. RNAcentral's name for it is "partial 16S ribosomal RNA". It matches the Rfam family "Bacterial small subunit ribosomal RNA", at positions 338 to 795 of the family's 1533-position model. The record is from RNAcentral.
CCUACGGGGGGCUGCAGUGGGGAAUUUUGGACAAUGGGGGCAACCCUGAUCCAGCCAUUCCGCGUGAGUGAAGAAGGCCUUCGGGUUGUAAAGCUCUUUUGUCCGGAGCGAAACGGGCGGCCCUCAUACGGUCGUCUACUGACGGUACCGGAAGAAUAAGCACCGGCUAACUACGUGCCAGCAGCCGCGGUCAUACGUAGGGUGCGAGCGUUAAUCGGAAUUACUGGGCGUAAAGCGUGCGCACAGGGGUGGAAGCCCCGGGCUCAACCUGGGAAUGGCAUUUGGGACUGCAAGGCUGGAGUGUGGCAGAGGGGACUAGAAUUCCUGGUGUAGCAGUGAAAUGCGUAGAUAUCAGGAGGAAUACCGAUGGCGAAGGCAGGUCCCUGGGUUAACACUGACGCUCAUGCACGAAAGCGUGGGGAGCAAACAGGAUUAGAUACCCUAGUAGUC